RNAcentral lists this ribosomal RNA (1461 nucleotides) under metagenome. RNAcentral describes it as "bacterial LSU rRNA". It matches the Rfam family "Bacterial large subunit ribosomal RNA", at positions 1472 to 2925 of the family's 2925-position model. The record is from RNAcentral.
UUCGAGAAGGUUAGCUCAGCCGGGUUUGGAUGUCCCGGUUCAAGCCUGUAGUCGUGCCUGGUAGGUAAAUCCGCCGGGCUUAGAUGAGGGGUGACAACGAGGCGGCUUGCCGUCGAAGUGAGUAAUACCCUGCUUCCAGGAAAAGCCACUAAGCUUCAGCUGCACACGACCGUACCGCAAACCGACACUGGUGCGCGAGAUGAGUAUUCUAAGGCGCUUGAGAGAACUCGGGAGAAGGAACUCGGCAAAUUGACACCGUAACUUCGGAAGAAGGUGUGCCUUUAGUAGGUGAACCUGUACAAGGGGAGCCCAAUGAGGUUGCAAAAAAUCGGUGGCUGCGACUGUUUAAUAAAAACACAGCACUCUGCAAACACGAAAGUGGACGUAUAGGGUGUGACGCCUGCCCGGUGCUGGAAGAUUAAAUGAUGGGGUGCAAGCUCUUGAUUGAAGUCCCAGUAAACGGCGGCCGUAACAAUAACGGUCCUAAGGUAGCGAAAUUCCUUGUCGGGUAAGUUCCGACCUGCACGAAUGGCGUAACGAUGGCCACACUGUCUCCUCCCGAGACUCAGCGAAGUUGAAAUGUUUGUGAUGAUGCAAUCUCCCCGCGGAAAGACGGAAAGACCCCAUGAACCUUUACUGUAGCUUUGUAUUGGACUUUGAACAGAUCUGUGUAGGAUAGGUGGGAGGCUUUGAAGCAGGGUCGCUAGAUCUUGUGGAGCCAACGUUGAAAUACCACCCUGGUGUGUUUGAGGUUCUAACCUAGGCCCGUAAUCCGGGUCGGGGACAGUGCAUGGUAGGCAGUUUGACUGGGGCGGUCUCCUCCCAAAGCGUAACGGAGGAGUUCGAAGGUACGCUAGUUACGGUCGGACAUCGUGACGAUAGUGCAAUGGCAUAAGCGUGCUUAACUGCGAGACUGACAAGUCGAGCAGAUGCGAAAGCAGGACAUAGUGAUCCGGUGGUUCUGUAUGGAAGGGCCAUCGCUCAACGGAUAAAAGGUACUCUGGGGAUAACAGGCUGAUACCGCCCAAGAGUUCAUAUCGACGGCGGUGUUUGGCACCUCGAUGUCGGCUCAUCUCAUCCUGGGGCUGUAGCCGGUCCCAAGGGUAUGGCUGUUCGCCAUUUAAAGAGGUACGUGAGCUGGGUUUAAAACGUCGUGAGACAGUUUGGUCCCUAUCUUCCGUGGGCGCUGCAGAUUUGAAGAAGCCUGCUCCUAGUACGAGAGGACCGGAGUGGACGCACCUCUGGUGUAUCGGUUGUCACGCCAGUGGCAUUGCCGAGUAGCUAUGUGCGGAAGAGAUAACCGCUGAAAGCAUCUAAGCGGGAAACUCGUUCUAAGAUGAGAUCUGCCGGGGCCUUGAGCCCCCUGAAGAGUCGUUCAAGACCAGGACGUUGAUAGGUCAGGUGUGGAAGCGCAGUAAUGCGUUAAGCUAACUGAUACUAAUUGCUCGUGCGGCUUGACCC